AUUGAACGCUGGCGGCAGGCUUAACACAUGCAAGUCGAGCGGGGUGAUGGUGCUUGCACUAUCACUUAGCGGCGGACGGGUGAGUAAUGCUUAGGAAUCUGCCUAUUAGUGGGGGACAACAUCUCGAAAGGGAUGCUAAUACCGCAUACGUCCUACGGGAGAAAGCAGGGGAUCACUUGUGACCUUGCGCUAAUAGAUGAGCCUAAGUCGGAUUAGCUAGUUGGUGGGGUAAAGGCUCACCAAGGCGACGAUCCGUAACUGGUCUGAGAGGAUGAUCAGUCACACUGGAACUGAGACACGGUCCAGACUCCUACGGGAGGCAGCAGUGGGGAAUAUUGGACAAUGGGCGAAAGCCUGAUCCAGCCAUGCCGCGUGUGUGAAGAAGGUCUUCGGAUUGUAAAGCACUUUAAGUUGGGAGGAAGGGUUGUAGAUUAAUACUCUGCAAUUUUGACGUUACCGACAGAAUAAGCACCGGCUAACUCUGUGCCAGCAGCCGCCGUAA
RNAcentral lists this ribosomal RNA (502 nucleotides) under uncultured bacterium. RNAcentral's name for it is "partial 16S ribosomal RNA". It matches the Rfam family "Bacterial small subunit ribosomal RNA", at positions 30 to 523 of the family's 1533-position model. The record is from RNAcentral.